AACAAAUAACAACUUUGAGAGAAAGGCACGUCUGAUGUUUAGCUCAAUCCAUCAGAGUUGCUUGUUCUUGUAUUGUAUAUGACUUGCAAAAUCCAAAGCCCCUCACUGCCCCACCACCCCACUCCACCAGAGUCAUGGGGCUCUUGCCCUCUUAGCUCCCAACAAUCUCACUCUUGUUCUCAGGGUCUUUGUCCCUCCUCUCCCUCUAUAUCUUCACCACCCAUCUCACUUAUUUAAUUCCACGCCUCCCAAUCUGCUUCUUGUUCCUCUUCACCAAUAACACCAAGUUUGAUGGGAUCGAACAAGGAAGAGAAAGAUGCAAGUUACUUGGAACAUGAAAGAGUUGUGAAGACUAGGAAAGCUUGCUUUUGGUCAAUUUUGGUGAGUGUGGCAGGGGGGCUCAUGUUAGGAUGGUGGGAAUAUCAAUAUCAUCCCACAAAUAGGCAACUGUGGAUGGUGCCCUUUGGUCUCAUCCUUUUUGCUACCCCGGUCAUUGUUUGGUUCUCUGUUAUGGCCUCUGACAUCUGUAAUUUGAAGGAUGAUGAUCAUGUCACAAGGGUGAGUCAACUCAGUAACUCGGUUCCUGCCAAGAAAGAUGGGCAAUGGAGCAACCAUGUGAAUGAUGUAUAGAUUUUAAAAUAUAUUGCUUACGAUUGAUUCUAUGUAAGAAUUCCACCAAUCUCAGUCAAUUACGUACGUGGAGUUGUAUUUAUUUAUUUAUAAGAACUAUGUGAACACCAUGUGGGCUCCAAGUAAUUGAUUAAGAUUCAUAUAUUAUGUAAUGAGCAUAGUUACAUAGGCUUUUUAAUUACAGGUGAUAGAAUGAUUGUGGUUGAUUUUGUUAUAAAACUUUACACUACUAAUAUGUUUUCUGACA
This is a long non-coding RNA of Prunus persica (peach), 877 nucleotides long. RefSeq lists it as uncharacterized. The record is from RefSeq and is a predicted model, not a curated record. The transcript has 2 exons. NCBI's taxonomy places the organism in Eukaryota, Viridiplantae, Streptophyta, Magnoliopsida, Rosales, Rosaceae.